This is a long non-coding RNA of Pelobates fuscus (common spadefoot toad), 697 nucleotides long. RefSeq lists it as uncharacterized. The transcript is spliced from 3 exons. Lineage: Eukaryota; Metazoa; Chordata; Amphibia; Anura; Pelobatidae. The record is from RefSeq and is a predicted model, not a curated record.
GUCCUACCUAAACACAUUCAAAGCUGGAGGUCAGAAAGUAUCCUUGGAAAGCUGGCACAGAUGAGUAAGAAGACAAGUGAGAAGAAAGGAGGUGAACUCAGGACAGAUUGGAUUUCUCCCCAGGAGAUAUGGAGUCAGACGGGUGAUGAGCUAAAAGGCAAGUUGCUAAGCUACUUGCCCUCCUACUUGUUGUCUCUGUCACCUUCAAGGUUGUUUAUUACCAUGCAGCACUACGGGGAGAUUGAAGAAGCGAAGAUGGCUCUCUGUCUUUUGACCAGGAAAAGGAAAGAUACUUUAUUUUAUUGUAAUAGAAAUUGUCAGUUUUCCUGGCUCAUCUUUUCAAUUUGCGUUUUAUUUUAUUGUUAAUAUAAUUAUCUGAUUGCCAUGUUGCUGAACAUUGUCAUAGUCUGUUGUGGUCCAUCCACUAUCCUUGUACUGAGAGAAGAAACUCUGUUGUAACACACCAUGAACCCUUCAUAAUACGAUUAUAAUCACUCAGUCAUCAAAUAUUUUUCUGCUCAUAUACCUCACUCAUAAAAUAUUUUCUGAUUACAAUUUUUUUUAAUAAGGUAUUUCUAUCUAACUUGGACUUACUUUAGGGUGCAUGUAAUGCGUACACAAGAAAUUGUGACAGUUCUUUUAACGUUACUUAUACACAGAGACAGGUUGCCAGAUCUUCAAGUUCUUGUUAUUAACA